UACCAGACUCCUACGGGAGGCAGCAGUGGGGAAUAUUGCACAAUGGGGGAAACCCUGAUGCAGCGACGCCGCGUGAGCGAUGAAGUAUUUCGGUAUGUAAAGCUCUAUCAGCAGGGAAGAAAAUGACGGUACCUGACUAAGAAGCUCCGGCUAAAUACGUGCCAGCAGCCGCGGUAAUACGUAUGGAGCAAGCGUUAUCCGGAAUUACUGGGUGUAAAGGGAGCGUAGGCGGCAAGGCAAGUCUGAUGUGAAAACCCAGGGCCCAACCCUGGGACUGCAUUGGAAACUGUAUUGCUUGAGUACCGGAGAGGCAGGCGGAAUUCCUAGUGUAGCGGUGAAAUGCGUAGAUAUGAGGAGGAACACCAGUGGCGAAGGCGGUCUGCUGGACAGCAACUGACGCUGAGGCGCGAAAGCGUGGGGAGCAAACAGGAUUAGAUACCCUGGUA
Molecule: ribosomal RNA, 446 nt
Filed under: uncultured bacterium
Lineage: Bacteria
Description: partial 16S ribosomal RNA
Rfam family: Bacterial small subunit ribosomal RNA
Source: RNAcentral